Molecule: ribosomal RNA, 492 nt
Filed under: uncultured bacterium
Lineage: Bacteria
Description: partial 16S ribosomal RNA
Rfam family: Bacterial small subunit ribosomal RNA
Source: RNAcentral
GAUGAACGCUAGCUACAGGCUUAACACAUGCAAGUCGAGGGGAAACGGCAUCGAAAGCUUGCUUUUGAUGGGCGUCGACCGGCGCACGGGUGAGUAACGCGUAUCCAACCUGCCCAUCACUUGGGAAUAACCUUGCGAAAGUAAGACUAAUGCCCAAUGACAUCCCACGAAGGCAUCCGAAUGGGAUUAAAGAUUUAUCGGUGAUGGAUGGGGAUGCGUCUGAUUAGCUUGUUGGCGGGGUGACGGCCCACCAAGGCAACGAUCAGUAGGGGUUCUGAGAGGAAGGUCCCCCACAUUGGAACUGAGACACGGUCCAAACUCCUACGGGAGGCAGCAGUGAGGAAUAUUGGUCAAUGGGCGAGAGCCUGAACCAGCCAAGUAGCGUGCAGGAUGACGGCCCUAUGGGUAGUAAACUGCUUUUAUAAGGGAAUAAAGUGGGUCACGUGUGACUUUUUGCAUGUACCUUAUGAAUAAGGACCGGCUAAUUCCGUG